Molecule: ribosomal RNA, 453 nt
Filed under: uncultured Phyllobacteriaceae bacterium
Lineage: Bacteria; Pseudomonadati; Pseudomonadota; Alphaproteobacteria; Hyphomicrobiales; Phyllobacteriaceae
Description: partial 16S ribosomal RNA
Source: RNAcentral
CACGAAGUUAGCCGGGGCUUCUUCUCCGGUUACCGUCAUUAUCUUCACCGGUGGAAGAGCUUUACAACCCUAGGGCCUUCAUCACUCACGCGGCAUGGCUGGAUCAGGCUUGCGCCCAUUGUCCAAUAUUCCCCACUGCUGCCUCCCGUAGGAGUCUGGGCCGUGUCUCAGUCCCAGUGUGGCUGAUCAUCCUCUCAGACCAGCUAUGGAUCGUCGCCUUGGUAGGCCUUUACCCCACCAACUAGCUAAUCCAACGCGGGCUCAUCCAUCUCCGAUAAAUCUUUCCCCCAAAGGGCGUAUACGGUAUUAGCUCCAGUUUCCCGGAGUUGUUCCGUAGAGAUGGGUAGAUUCCCACGUGUUACUCACCCGUCUGCCGCUCCCACCGAAGUGGCGCUCGACUUGCAUGUGUUAAGCCUGCCGCCAGCGUUCGUUCUGAGCCAGGAUCAAACUCUA